GCAGCCGCCGCGGUAAUACGGAGGAUCCAAGCGUUAUCCGGAAUCAUUGGGUUUAAAGGGUCCGUAGGCGGUCUUGUAAGUCAGUGGUGAAAGCCCAUCGCUCAACGGUGGAACGGCCAUUGAUACUGCAGGACUUGAAUUAUUGGGAAGUAACUAGAAUAUGUAGUGUAGCGGUGAAAUGCUUAGAGAUUACAUGGAAUACCAAUUGCGAAGGCAGGUUACUACCAAUUGAUUGACGCUGAUGGACGAAAGCGUGGGUAGCGAACAGGAUUAGAUACCCCUGUAGUCCCUGUCUCUUAUAA
This 302-nucleotide ribosomal RNA is filed under the name uncultured bacterium. RNAcentral describes it as "partial 16S ribosomal RNA". It matches the Rfam family "Bacterial small subunit ribosomal RNA", at positions 508 to 809 of the family's 1533-position model. The record is from RNAcentral.